UACGGGGGGUGCGAGCGUUGUCCGGAAUCACUGGGCGUAAAGGGCGCGUAGGUGGCUUUGUAAGUUUGCGGUGAAAGCCCGGGGCUCAACCCCGGGUCUGCCGUGGAUACUGCAAGGCUUGAGUACUGUAGAGGCAGGUAGAAUUUCGGGUGUAGCGGUGGAAUGCGUAGAGAUCCGAUAGAAGACCGGUGGCGAAGGCGGCCUGCUGGGCAGUAACUGACACUGAGGCGCGACAGCGUGGGGAGCAAACAGG
This 253-nucleotide ribosomal RNA is filed under the name uncultured bacterium. RNAcentral's name for it is "partial 16S ribosomal RNA". It matches the Rfam family "Bacterial small subunit ribosomal RNA", at positions 524 to 776 of the family's 1533-position model. The record is from RNAcentral.